RNAcentral lists this unclassified non-coding RNA (413 nucleotides) under Hevea brasiliensis (rubber tree). The record is from RNAcentral. Lineage: Eukaryota; Viridiplantae; Streptophyta; Magnoliopsida; Malpighiales; Euphorbiaceae.
UCUUUUCCUGGCAUGGAGAGCCAUUCUGAUAUGCUCCGGAGAGCCAUUAAUUCCCAACUGACACCAAUGACUGGAGGAUUCAAGGAGACUACUCAGCUACCGAAUGCAUGGGAUGAUGAGCUCCACAAUGUUGUCCAGAUGGGCUAUGUAACUUGUGCUCCACAAGAUAGCCAAGAUAUAAAUNGGAUCACUGCCACCAGGCCAUAUGAAAGCUGAACUUUAAUUAUUCACUUUGCUUUUAUGUGACAAAAGUAUGGUUGCACCACUAAUUUUGAGGAUAAAAAGUGUGCAAGACUAGAUUCUCUUCGAAGUAAGGAGGCCAAUAAAGAGAGAUGCUUUUAAGUCCAGCUUCAAAAGUUUUGAGGAUUUAGUUGCAUGUCCAGAGCAAAGAAGGUUUUGAGAGCUUAAUAGGG